This 75-nucleotide transfer RNA is filed under the name Bacteroides sp. RNAcentral's name for it is "tRNA-Val". It matches the Rfam family "tRNA". From Rfam's summary of the family: Transfer RNA (tRNA) molecules are approximately 80 nucleotides in length. RNAcentral also lists the same sequence under 4 other names. The record is from RNAcentral. Lineage: Bacteria; Pseudomonadati; Bacteroidota; Bacteroidia; Bacteroidales; Bacteroidaceae.
GGGCGAUUAGCUCAGCUGGUUUAGAGCAUCUGCCUUACAAGCAGAGGGUCGGCGGUUCGAAUCCGUCAUCGCCCA